Molecule: long non-coding RNA, 437 nt
Filed under: Anas platyrhynchos platyrhynchos (common mallard)
Lineage: Eukaryota; Metazoa; Chordata; Aves; Anseriformes; Anatidae
Description: lncRNA (ENSAPLG00000024847.1)
Source: RNAcentral
UUUACAUUUUUGCUUUCUCUGACCUGAUCCGAGUGGGAUUUCAGUGUUACUGGUUGCCCACAGGCAUUGCUUGCUGAAGGUUAAGGUGAACUGCUACCCUGUGGCCACCUAACGCCUGUCAGGCUCCUGGAAUGUUCUCCAGAGUAUUCAAAGGACAGCGAUAGCCAUGCCUGUCCCAUUUCGGCUGUAAGACCAAGGAGUUUGGCAGACCUAAACAUUGUCCCGGAGAAAAAAUCCCCGCACUCCUCUGCUCUGCCAACUGAACCAUGGAGGCUACCGACUGAAAUAGCAUCACGAGUGGCUGACGUUGAGCGGACCAGGGCUGGGGAGAAACGUGACCCCAGGCCAAGGCUGCAUCUCUGCGAAGCGAUGAGCUGACACCAGCUGGGACGCCUGAGCUGGAUCUGUGCUGCCAAACACAAAUCACUUCUCCGCUG